This 901-nucleotide ribosomal RNA is filed under the name uncultured archaeon. RNAcentral's name for it is "bacterial SSU rRNA". It matches the Rfam family "Archaeal small subunit ribosomal RNA", at positions 1 to 922 of the family's 1478-position model. The record is from RNAcentral.
UUCCGGUUGAUCCUGCCGGAGGCGGCCGCUUUUGGAGUUCGAUUAAGCCAUGCGAGUCGAGAGCCUUAGGGGCUCGGCAUACUGCUCAGUAACACGUGGAUAACCUGCCCUAUUGUCUGGAAUAACCUCGGGAAACUGAGAACAAGGCCGGAUAACCCACCAUGCCUGGAACGGUUGGUGGGUGAAGAUAGGAUGGGUCUGCGGCGUAUCAGGUCGUAGGGGGUGUAAAGGACCUCCUAGCCAUCGACGCGUACGGGUGUUGGGAGACAUAGCCCGGAGAUGGAUUCUGAGACACGAAUCCAGACCCUACGGGGUGCAGCAGGCGCGAAAACUUCACACUGCAGGAAACUGUGAUGAGGGAACUCCAAGUGCACGCACUUAGUGUGUGCUUUUUUCAACUAUUAAUCGGUUGAAGAAUAAGGGCUGGGAAAGACCGGUGCCAGCCGCCGCGGUAAUACCGGCAGCUCAAGUGGUCGUCGCUUUUAUUGGGCCUAAAACGUCCGUAGCCUGUUUGGUAAAUCUGUGGGUAAAUCAACCAGCUUAACUGGUUGAAUUCUGCAGAGACUGCCAGACUAGGGACCGGGAGAGGUGUGGGGUACUCUAGGGGUAGGGGUAAAAUCCUGUCAUCCUUAGAGGACCACCAGUUGCGAGGCGCCACACUGGAACGGAUCCGACGGUCAGGGACGAAGCCUAGGGGCACGAACCGGAUUAGAUACCCGGGUAGUCCUAGGUGUAAACGCUGUGAACUUGGUGUCGGGGAUCCGUCAUGGGUCCCCGGUGCCGGAGUGAAGAUGUUAAGUUCACUGCCUGGGGAGUACGGUCGCAAGGCUGAAACUUAAAGGAAUUGGCGGGGGAGCACUGCAACGGGAGGAGCGUGCGGUUUAAUUGGAUCAACGCCGGA